Molecule: long non-coding RNA, 332 nt
Filed under: Capra hircus (goat)
Lineage: Eukaryota; Metazoa; Chordata; Mammalia; Artiodactyla; Bovidae
Description: lncRNA (ENSCHIG00000005752.1)
Source: RNAcentral
AGAUUAGCUGUUUGUUCCAGCUCUGGCCUGGGAAGUCAGAAUGCUGCCAACUGUUUUGAUAGGAGGAGGUUUGACAGCAGAUCAGCUCCUUGCUCAGCCUCACUGAAACCAAACAGUCAUCAGUUAAAUAUGCCAGAUGAAGAGUCUGUGAUAGAGAACACUUGCUGGAUCAAAACCAAGAAUGAAAGCUCUUCUUUCUUAAACUUCAGUUGUAGGUAGUCUGCUUCCACAUACAAUGUAGAAAAGAGCAUUGCUACCAAUCUAACAAGAAAAAAUUGAAAAACUACAGGACUGUAACUUUUCAUGAACCCAUCAGAGACAAGGUGCGGAGG